Long non-coding RNA from Alligator sinensis (Chinese alligator), 666 nucleotides. RefSeq lists it as uncharacterized. The transcript is spliced from 3 exons. NCBI's taxonomy places the organism in Eukaryota, Metazoa, Chordata, Crocodylia, Alligatoridae. The record is from RefSeq and is a predicted model, not a curated record.
UCCCUGCCAGCAGCCAGAGAGGCAGGAGCUCCCUAUGUGGCAAUGUGAGGAGAAGCCUAACUGCAGCACUCAAGCUUCAACUGUGUCCUGCUGAGCUACUUAACUUGAGUUUAAAGUACUACUUUGGAGCAAAGAAUUUGUGAAUGGCUCUGAGUCAACAUAGGAACAAAGCUCCAGCUAGAGCUUAAAUUAACAAUGAAAGAAAAAUAAGCAAACCCUUCAAAAAGACUUAUCAUACAAUGUAGGACAGCAGUCACCCACAAAACCAAAGCUGUCUGCAAAAAAAGACCACUGCCUCCUAAGAGGGAAAGCAGAAUAGGGGCAGCCUGAGAGGGACAGAAGUGUAUGGAAGAUGAACAUCAGCUCCCUGGAUGAAGAAAGGAUACAGUGAGAGCUCAGACAGAGCUACACAGACUGGAAGACCCUCAGAUCAUCAUACAGAAACCAUCAUGGAGUGGUGCACCCAACUGCUGGAGGGCCACCUGGGUGUAGGGAUGUACUGGGGCCUCAAUACCCUUUUGUACAAGAAAGGCCCAAGGGAAGAGUUGAAGAACUGGAUGCCCAUAACCCUCUCAGACUUUGACUACUAACUGCUGGCUACAGUAUUGGCUGUGUGCCUUAACUCUGUUAUAGGGAUGGUGAUCCAUGAAGACCAGACAUGCACAG